AACGCGAAGAACCUUACCUACCCUUGACAUGUGCGGAAUCCUCCAGAGAUGGAGGAGUGCCCGAAAGGGAACCGCAACACAGGUGCUGCAUGGCUGUCGUCAGCUCGUGUCGUGAGAUGUUGGGUUAAGUCCCGCAACGAGCGCAACCCUUGCCACUAGUUGCUACAUUCAGUUGAGCACUCUAAUGGGACUGCCGGUGACAAACCGGAGGAAGGUGGGGAUGACGUCAAGUCCUCAUGGCCCUUAUGGGUAGGGCUACACACGUCAUACAAUGGCGCGUACAGAGGGUUGCCAACCCGCGAGGGGGAGCCAAUCCCAGAAAGCGCGUCGUAGUCCGGAUUGAAGUCUGCAACUCGACUUCAUGAAGUCGGAAUCGCUAGUAAUCGCGGAUCAGCAUGUCGCGGUGAAUACGUUCCCGGGCCUUGUACACACCGCACGA
RNAcentral lists this ribosomal RNA (439 nucleotides) under uncultured bacterium. RNAcentral describes it as "bacterial SSU rRNA". It matches the Rfam family "Bacterial small subunit ribosomal RNA", at positions 958 to 1397 of the family's 1533-position model. The record is from RNAcentral.